Molecule: small RNA, 552 nt
Filed under: Pan troglodytes (chimpanzee)
Lineage: Eukaryota; Metazoa; Chordata; Mammalia; Primates; Hominidae
Description: processed transcript
Source: RNAcentral
AGAAUGAAACCAGGCUGGGCAUGGUGGCUCACACCUGUAAUCUCAGUGUUUUGGGAGGCCAAGAUGGAAAAUCUACAACAUGGAGUGUCAGACUGGGACAGCUAUUAUUAUCAGCCAAAAAAAGAGAUAUCACAGCUUUUUAUGACACACUGAAACUAGUGAGAGCAGAACAAAUUGUACCUCUUUCAGCUGCAAGCUUUGAAAGAGGCUCCUACCAACGAGGAUAUGAAUAUAUUGUGAGAUUGCACAUGUUGUGUGAGUUGGAGCAUAGCAUCAAACCACUUUUCCAGCAUUCUCCAGGUGACAGUUCUCAAGAAGAUUCUCUAAACUGGGUAGCUCGACUAGAAAUGACCCAGAAUUCCUACAGAGCCAAGGAGCCUAUCCUGGCUCUCCGGAGGGCUUUACUAAGCCUCAACAAAAGACCAGAUUACAAUGAAAUGGUUGGAGAAUGCUGGCUGCAGAGUGCCAGAGUAGCUAGAAAGGCUGGUCACCACCAGACAGCCUACAAUGCUCUCCUUAAUGCAGGGGAAUCACGACUCGCUGAACUGUACG